RNAcentral lists this transfer RNA (76 nucleotides) under Nitrospina gracilis Nb-211. RNAcentral describes it as "tRNA-Phe". It matches the Rfam family "tRNA". Rfam says of the family: Transfer RNA (tRNA) molecules are approximately 80 nucleotides in length. Their secondary structure includes four short double-helical elements and three loops (D, anti-codon, and T loops). Lineage: Bacteria; Pseudomonadati; Nitrospinota; Nitrospinia; Nitrospinales; Nitrospinaceae. RNAcentral also lists the same sequence under 13 other names. The record is from RNAcentral.
GCCGAGGUAGCUCAGUCGGUAGAGCAGAGGACUGAAAAUCCUCGUGUCGGCGGUUCGAUUCCGUCCCUCGGCACCA